This 329-nucleotide unclassified non-coding RNA is filed under the name soil metagenome. RNAcentral's name for it is "partial contains 5.8S ribosomal RNA, internal transcribed spacer 2, and large subunit ribosomal RNA". The stretch from base 1 to 120 matches the Rfam family "5.8S ribosomal RNA", at positions 35 to 154 of the family's 154-position model. The record is from RNAcentral.
GAUGAAGAACGCAGCGAAAUGCGAUAAGUAAUGUGAAUUGCAGAAUUCAGUGAAUCAUCGAAUCUUUGAACGCACAUUGCGCCCCUUGGUAUUCCGAGGGGCAUGCCUGUUCGAGCGUCAUUAUAACCCCUCAAGCUCAGCUUGGUGUUGGGGCCUGCUGCACUGGCAGCCCUUAAAAUCAGUGGCGGCGCCAUCUGGCUCUAAGCGUAGUAAUUCUUCUCGCUAUGGAGUCCUGGUGGAUGCUUGCCAUCAACCCCCAAUUUUUCUAUGGUUGACAUCGGAUCAGGUAGGGAUACCCGCUGAACUUAAGCAUAUCAAUAAGCGGAGGA